CCCCGUUGCACGCGACAUGAAGGACAACAUGUACGUGGACAAUAUUCUGUCUGGUGCUGAUACCGAAUUAAAUGCCUCCCAAUACUAUGACGAAUCAAGAUCGAUUAUGACUGAAGCUAAGUUCAACCUACGUUCAUGGGCCUCAAAUAGUCCGACACUUCAGCAGGAAGCAACUAAAGAUGAAACAGUUGACACAACUCCAGAGACUGAUGUCAAUGUUCUCGGCGUACGAUGGAACACAUCCUCUGACACCAUUCAUUUUGCAACCAAGAAAUCCAUACCUAACAUGCACGAACUGAUCACUAAACGCGAAGUUCUGCAACACUCCUCCAGCAUUUUCGAUCCCCUUGGGAUAAUAGCUCCUGUAACAAUCAGAGUCAAGAUUGUCAUGCAACAACUGUGGCAACAAUCGAUCGAUUGGGAUGAACCCCUCAACGAACAACUUCAACAAGAAUGGCUCAAAUUAGCUGUAGAUUUGUUUGCAGCUCAGCAAACCAUUAUACCACGUCGAUACCAUUUAACGCCCACGAUUUCCCAGAAC
Paramuricea clavata is the source of this 541-nucleotide non-coding RNA. The record is from the annotation of a GenBank genome assembly. NCBI's taxonomy places the organism in Eukaryota, Metazoa, Cnidaria, Anthozoa, Malacalcyonacea, Plexauridae.